GACGGAAGGUGCAAGCGUUGCUCGGAAUCACUGGGCGUAAAGGGUGCGUAGGCGGCUUGGUAAGUUGGGUGUGAAAGCCCCGGGCUCAGCCCGGGAAGGGCACUCGAAACUGCCGAGCUGGAGUGCCGGAGGGGAGAGUGGAAUUCCUGGUGUAGCGGUGAAAUGCGCAGAUAUCGGGAGGAACACCGGUGGCGAAGGCGGCAUCCUGGACCGGCAUUGACGCUGAGGAGCGAAAGUGUGGGGAGCGAACAGG
This 253-nucleotide ribosomal RNA is filed under the name uncultured bacterium. RNAcentral describes it as "partial 16S ribosomal RNA". It matches the Rfam family "Bacterial small subunit ribosomal RNA", at positions 524 to 776 of the family's 1533-position model. The record is from RNAcentral.